This 500-nucleotide ribosomal RNA is filed under the name uncultured bacterium. Its description in RNAcentral is "bacterial SSU rRNA". It matches the Rfam family "Bacterial small subunit ribosomal RNA", at positions 28 to 518 of the family's 1533-position model. The record is from RNAcentral.
GAUGAACGCUAGCGGCAGGCCUAACACAUGCAAGUCGAGGGGCAGCGGGGUGUAGCAAUACACUGCCGGCGACCGGCGCACGGGUGCGUAACGCGUAUACAAUUUGCCUUAUACUGGGAGAUAGCCCGGAGAAAUCCGGAUUAAUAUCGCAUAAAAUUGAGAGGUCGCAUGAUUUCACAAUUAAAGCUACGGCGGUAUAAGAUGAGUAUGCGUCCUAUUAGCUAGUUGGUGAGGUAACGGCUCACCAAGGCGACGAUAGGUAGGGGGCCUGAGAGGGUUAUCCCCCACACUGGUACUGAGACACGGACCAGACUCCUACGGGAGGCAGCAGUGAGGAAUAUUGGUCAAUGGAGGCAACUCUGAACCAGUCAUGCCGCGUGCAGGAUGAAUGGCCUAUGGGUUGUAAACUGCUUUUAUUUGGGAAUAAACCCUCUUAACGUGUAAGAGGCUGAAGGUACCAAAAGGAAUAAGGACCGGCUAACUCCGUGCCAGCAGCCGAC